CCACUGACAUUAUAUCCUCUAGCAUAUCUGCUUACAUUCUGCUGUUGUCCUACUUCCAGACACCAUUCAUCUUUGAGUGCACAGUUUCACUAGAUGCAUUAGUUGCUUGCCCCGCUGAUAUCUUCAUUGAAAGUACUCAGAUAUUGCAAACACCAGCUGCCAUUUAAGCAAGAUAGCCACAUGGUUUGAUAUGUUAAAAUACUGUAGGUCUCUCUAAAUCUGCAAAGCUUAAGCAUUGAGUAAGAUUGCUUACUCACUGGCUGUUCAUAUUGCUUUUGCUGGAUUAGUGUAAACGACGUAAAAAUUAGUUGGCUUGAAGGACAAUUAACUGACAGCACUAAACAUGUUAUAUUAACUAUUUUACAGUUCUACUGCUGAAGUGCCUGAGAUGAUCUUCUCAUGAAUGUUAAAUCCCCACAAAUCAGCAUAUUCAAACAGGGGGGAGGACCCAGAGGCUAAGAUGUUGAGCUUGCAGAACACAAAUGAAAUCUAUCUGGAAAGAAACAGUAAGUCACUUACUCUAAUCUUUUUAAAUUUCAAACUUUUUUUAAGUGCUGAAAAAAAAAUUAUUUUCAACACAGGAAAAAUAUCUACAGAAAGUGUAGAUUCAGGGAAUAAAUCACAGAGCUAGAUCACAUGAGAUCAGAAUAGUUUUAUCUU
Molecule: long non-coding RNA, 660 nt
Filed under: Junco hyemalis (dark-eyed junco)
Lineage: Eukaryota; Metazoa; Chordata; Aves; Passeriformes; Passerellidae
Description: lncRNA (ENSJHYG00000005177.1)
Source: RNAcentral